ACGAUUACCUUGAGAAAAAUAGAGUGUCUAAAGCAGGCGAAUGCUUGAAUACCGUAGCAUGGAAUAAUAGAAUAGGACAUUGGUUCUAUUUUGUUGGUUUUCAGGACCAGGGUCAUGAUGAAUAGGGACAGUUGGGGGCAUUAGUAUUCGGUAGUCAGAGGUGAAAUUCUUGGAUUUACUGAAGACUAACUAGUGCGAAAGCAUUUGCCAAGGAUGUUUUCAUUGAUCAAGAACGAAAGUUAGGGGAUCGAAGACGAUUAGAUACCGUCGUAGUCUUAACCAUAAACGAUGCCGACUAGGGAUCGGCGGGUGUCAGCAUUGACUCCGUCGGCACCUUGCGAGAAAUCAAAGUUUUUGGGUUCUGGGGGGAGUGUGGUCGCAAGGCUGAAACUUGAAGGAAUUGACGGAAGGGCACCACCAGGAUUGGAUUCUGCGGCUUAAUUUGACUCAACACGGGAAAACUCACCAGGUCCGGACAUAG
RNAcentral lists this ribosomal RNA (481 nucleotides) under uncultured eukaryote. RNAcentral describes it as "bacterial SSU rRNA". It matches the Rfam family "Eukaryotic small subunit ribosomal RNA", at positions 748 to 1233 of the family's 1831-position model. The record is from RNAcentral.